GUGGAUAUAGCUCAGUUGGUUAGAGCACUGGUUUGUGGUUCCAGGGGUCGUGGGUUCAAAUCCCAUUAUUCACCCA
Molecule: transfer RNA, 76 nt
Filed under: Bacteroidota bacterium
Lineage: Bacteria; Pseudomonadati; Bacteroidota
Description: Bacteroidetes bacterium tRNA-His
Rfam family: tRNA
About the family: Transfer RNA (tRNA) molecules are approximately 80 nucleotides in length. Their secondary structure includes four short double-helical elements and three loops (D, anti-codon, and T loops). Further hydrogen bonds mediate the characteristic L-shaped molecular structure. tRNAs have two regions of fundamental functional importance: the anti-codon, which is responsible for specific mRNA codon recognition, and the 3' end, to which the tRNAs corresponding amino acid is attached (by aminoacyl-tRNA synthetases). tRNAs cope with the degeneracy of the genetic code in two manners: having more than one tRNA (with a specific anti-codon) for a particular amino acid; and 'wobble' base-pairing, i.e. permitting non-standard base-pairing at the 3rd anti-codon position.
Source: RNAcentral